UGGACCUGAUAUCAAACAAGACUACCCGCUGAACUUAAGCAUAUCAAUAAGCGGAGGAAA
RNAcentral lists this ribosomal RNA (60 nucleotides) under Saprolegnia salmonis. RNAcentral's name for it is "partial 28S ribosomal RNA". It matches the Rfam family "Eukaryotic large subunit ribosomal RNA", at positions 1 to 59 of the family's 3401-position model. The record is from RNAcentral. Lineage: Eukaryota; Oomycota; Saprolegniomycetes; Saprolegniales; Saprolegniaceae.